RNAcentral lists this long non-coding RNA (219 nucleotides) under Parus major (Great Tit). Its description in RNAcentral is "lncRNA (ENSPMJG00000009008.1)". Lineage: Eukaryota; Metazoa; Chordata; Aves; Passeriformes; Paridae. The record is from RNAcentral.
AUUCCAUACAGCUUAGCUACAUUGCAUAUCAUCAAGAUUGUAAAAGACAUGCAGCAAAUGAAAAACAGACACAUGAAGAUAAUUAGAAAACUAGAUGAUAUAAGGAAAGAAAAUCAGAAAGGAGGAGACUAUAACUACUAUAAGGAAACAUUACAGUGAAAAAAUGAGGUGUCUGAAAUCCCAGUUAGAAGCUUAUCAAGAGCUGAUGAACAAGAACAA